RNAcentral lists this ribosomal RNA (458 nucleotides) under uncultured bacterium. Its description in RNAcentral is "partial 16S ribosomal RNA". It matches the Rfam family "Bacterial small subunit ribosomal RNA", at positions 338 to 795 of the family's 1533-position model. The record is from RNAcentral.
CCUACGGGAGGCAGCAGUGAGGAAUAUUGGUCAAUGGGCGAGAGCCUGAACCAGCCAAGUCGCGUGAGGGAGUACUGCCCUAUGGGUUGUAAACCUCUUUUGUCGGGGAGCAAAAGCCGGACGUGUCCGGCUGUGAGAGUACCCGAAGAAAAAGCAUCGGCUAACUCCGUGCCAGCAGCCGCGGUAAUACGGAGGAUGCGGGCGUUAUCCGGAUUUAUUGGGUUUAAAGGGGGCGCAGGCGGAUUUUUAAGUCAGCGGUAAAAUCGUGGGGCUCAACCCCAUCCAGCCGUUGAAACUGGGGAUCUAGAGUGUGCGAGAGGUAUGCGGAAUGCGUGGUGUAGCGGUGAAAUGCAUAGAUAUCACGCAGAACCCCGAUUGCGAAGGCAGCAUACCGGUGCACAACUGACGCUCAGGCACGAAAGCGUGGGUAUCGAACAGGAUUAGAUACCCGAGUAGUC